Long non-coding RNA from Brassica rapa (field mustard), 3800 nucleotides. RefSeq lists it as uncharacterized. The record is from RefSeq and is a predicted model, not a curated record. Lineage: Eukaryota; Viridiplantae; Streptophyta; Magnoliopsida; Brassicales; Brassicaceae.
UUUUUUUAUUUUCAAAUUUUUAAUAUUUAUUUUUUAUUUUAUAAAAUUUUAAACCCUAAGGUUUGGAUUAGUUAAACCUAGGGGUAUAAGUGUAUAUUUACCUCUUUAAUGAAAUAUUUUGGUCAUUUUGAUUUUUAAAGUCUAUAUUUAUGAUAUAAUUUUUUUUAGUACUAUCUUAUAGUAUUUCCCAUCCUAAAACUAUAAAAUAUUAUUUUUAUAUUUUUUUAUUAAAUUAAUCAUCAAACAAAACCUGUUGUAACGCAGGUGCUCAAGUAUCUAUAGCCAAAAUAAAUAUUGGUGCCUAGAGGAAUUGCACACAAAAAUAUGGGCCUUUAGUCGGCCUAAUAUGAAAGGGCUAAGAUUUUAACUAUUGGGCUGUGUUGGAAGCAAAACCCUAAAAAGAUGUUGUAGCGGCUACUCGGUAAGGAAAACCCUAAUGCGCCUGUGUCGUAUAAAUAUGGUUCUUCUUCUAAAAUAAAUUGAAACAGCAUAGCUGCUUGCUUCUAUAUAUUUUCUUUCUGCUUAGCUUUACAAUGAACAGUAGGAGUUCUUUUCAUUGUUUUCUCUGGGGUUAUAUUGAUUUUGUUUUUUGGAUUUGUGGCGGGUAGGAAGAAGGGAUAUGGUGAUGAAACGAAUAAUUUCGUGGACUAGAGUUUCCGAUCUGGGCUCUUCACCCAGUAGUUGACGAUACAUCCCUUGGCUGUCUGAGUAUCCCUCUUCUUUACACUCCCGCCUCCACCACAAUCAUAUUUGCUUUUUUGACAUUCUUUUUAGAUUAGCCGAUGAGGAUAAAAACAAUUAUCUUAGCGGAUUUCAGUGAGGUUUUAAAUCAAUGAUCUGAAUUGUUACACACACUGAGGCUGUUUUUAUUUGAUAAAUAAUUUGAAUCGUUUCUCUGAUUUAUUGUUUUGAUGCGAUGAUGAUGAAACUGCACGGAGGUGCACGAAGGGCAGUGGACAAAACAUAAACUGUUUUGCCGUGAGCUCUCUUAUUUAAACGACUUCUCCUUCCACUGAGCAUUAAUUAGAUAUUUUCAAUUUGUUCUUUAUAUUAUGGUAUAUAUGGUGGAAAGGAGGCGUCUUUUACCAAUUCUGAAGGAUAAAAACAGUUCCUUUAGGUAUAAUGGCAUUGACGCAAUAUUGAUUUGUGGUAUAUCCUGAUCAUUUGGCCUUUUCUAUGUUUUUUGAUCCUGGAAAUGCCUCGCAUAUUAUCUCUUGCACUUAAGUUGUAUACAUUGCCAUUGGUUGAUUUCUAGCAUACCUCCUCAUUAAAGUGAUGUCAACUUAGUUUGUAAUUUCCUCACUUGUUGAUGAGUAAGUAACACUAAAAGCUUUAUGAAUGAGACUCAAAGUUACUGAUUUGAACCUGGAUCCGCAUGACCUGAUUCUUCACUUUCAAUGUCAUGACCUAACAUUGACUUUCAACCUUUUAAAAGUUACGGAACUUGUCAAAUUUAAAAUAUGUUGAUCUGAAUAAAAUAGUACUAGAUCUAGUGUUGUAGCCAAAUUUGAUAAAAUUCACAACUGUAGGCAGGCAUAUUUGGCUAAACUGUAGUGAUCUGUGAGAUUGGUGAGCUUUGAGAACCACUCCGAUGGGUAAUUGAUGACCAACAAUUCACAAGAAAAGACUAAGAAUGAAAUUUUCGAAAGCUAAUUAAGUUGAUUAGAGGAACCCGCAUAAAUUCUUUCAGUGGUUAUAUGAGCUGGAUGAUUGAUCUAUGAACAGAUUGAACAACAAAAAGAUACUAAGUGACAACACAAAGCAAUGAUUGUGAAAAAAGACCCGUCUGGCUUGGUGGCUGGCUUGUUUAGCCUUUUUUAUUUGGCUUUCUAUUAUUAGUUUGAGUAAGAGACAAACGGUAAAAAAAAUUACCGAGGAAUAGUUUGAUUACAGAAUUUAAAAUUAACAAAGAUUUGGUGUAUGGUUUUAGUAGAAGUCUGUAUGUACUAAUUCCAAACCGUUUUCAUGUUUAAAUGUAAGAAAAUAGCCGAUUUCCUCAAACAUUAGAGAAGCUAUAAAACACGCAUCCAACUUUUGUUUCUUUUUUGAAUAAGAUGUUAAAUUCGAUUCAAAAGAAAUACAGCAUAGCUAUUUUUUUUUUUGGCUCAACAUUAACUUUUCAUUAACCUAACUGUUUAGUACAAUCAAAUUGUAACCACAUUGCUUUAGCAGAGAUUUUAACCACUUGUGAUCUAAUGGAUGAAGAUAUAGUAUCACCUAGGCUCACUCAUUUGAAACCUACGUUACCUUAUCAAUCAUCCGAUCACUUAAACCACCAUGAGAACAAACUCAUUUUACCACAAACAAUCAAAAUGAGUUGUCUCUUACACCACACUAUUACAGGGACAUAACUAAAACCUGAAACUAAGCUCUAAACGAUGAAUACAAAUAAGACCGAAGCCAGCGAUCACCGUUUGAUUGGAAUUAAGACCUUGGAUCAUACCGGCUCAACACCGAGGCGCAUGUUCCUCACUCAGGCCCGCUUUAGGUUGCAGUCAAUAUCCCAAGCCUUAUUCAGCGGAUGCAAAACCAGUGAAUCGAUUUUAAUGGGUUUGUACCUUGCUUGGCAAUUUCGUUUCAUAACAAAAUAGGCUCCCCACCAGAUUGGUGCUUAAACUACCACCAAGGACUUCUCCAUCUCAUGAUUCAUGGGCUUGAUCCUUAACAGAGCCGCCGGGACAAGACUAAAACUCCACCAACAAGUUGAGAAGCUUCAAGUAGCCUGGAAUGAAGAAAAGCGGGUACGGAUAACAGAACCACCGGAGCUCUUCCAACAAACUGCAUAAGAACAAAGAAGCUUCGGGGAAUAACAGCCAAAAAACGAUCUGUCAUCGUCGAAACAGAUCGGAGCGGCCAAGGGAAAAUUGCUCCGACCCAGUUCCAAACCCUAAAAGCCGACCUCCGAUGAACGGCCAUCUUCCUGACUCAACUCGCCAUGACUCCAGAGGCCCAGGAACCACCUGUGACAAGCAUCAAGCAGCCAAAUCUGAGAUCUGAAGAACUGAAGAGACCAGAGACCAUAUGCAUCUCGAAGAGGGGAAGAGGCGUCGUCAAAGGCAAAGGAAAAAAGGAGAUUAAGGGAAAGAAGCGGGUCUCCGGCGGCGUCGACUCCGCGGUCGACGCCGGAAAGGAACGGCGGCGAUUAGGGUUCUCUAACUCUCUCUCUCUCUCUCUCUCUCUUGACCUGUUUUUGUGUUAUACAACAUAGCUUUUUUGUUUCUUACUUGUUUUUUUUAAACGACAAAAGAAUAGAAAAAUUGUGUCUUCGAUCCAUUCUUGAAACGCCAUGUCCAGUCUCUUGUCCAGAGUUCGAACGGAGGCUCAUGGGAUUCUACUAGUGAUGCAAUGGAAGCAAGAGCAAGUUGGCCAAUGUAGUCCUCAAACAACUCGCUUCCAAAGAGCAUGCCAAACACAGCUGCAGGAUCCAUUGCAUCCCUGCACCAAAAAAAAAAAAAAAAAAUUGACAUGAGUAUGGGAAUAGCAAUUAAGCAUUAACACCAGUCACAUGAUAUAUACUUUUAAGCGAAAGAGAAACUUACUGUUGAACACCUUCUUUGCCAUAGUUAUCAUAGGCAGUUCGCUUCUCGGGAUCGCUAAGAACAUGGUAAGCUUCACCUCGUGCUUUCAUUCACAUAAGCAGUGUUAAAAGUAUUCGAGAGUGAAUUUAAACAAGUAAUCCUAGUGAAGCAAACUUAUAAGGUAGCAUUUUGUCUCAUGAUUAAUCACCUGAAAGUUUUUAGCAGCUUGAGGAUCAUUAGGGUUCUUGUCUCGAUGAACUUGCCUUGCCUGCCCACAUUAAA